AGAACAUUUUCUUUGAAUGCUUAGGUUAGGAACAUUUUCUCUGAACACUUAGGCUAACCUGUGGAGAUAAGGAGAUCAAGGAUUUGGUGGAACACAUUUUGUAGAACCAUCUUAAAAAUACAGUUGAUAAAAUUUCUAAAUGAAGACCAAGAUAAAGGGAACAAGAUCAGAAAACAUCAUCCUCACAGAAAUUAUUAAGAAUCCACACACCAUGUAUGAAAUGAGCUAAUCCUGGAAGCAUUUCUAGAAUUCAUGGCUGUGCAGGAUGAUUUUGAGGGAAACUCUCCAUUAAAUCCAGAUACCUCUGAAGUCUUAAUCCAAAAGAGUGAUAAUGUGGGGUAUCAGGUACAAUGGCAGGCAGAAGUUUCAAAGUAGAAUGCCUAACAGAACAUCUCAACUAAGAAUAUGAAAGCAACUGCUUACUCUACCUACUUAAAAGGCAGCUACAUUC
Molecule: long non-coding RNA, 451 nt
Organism: Lontra canadensis (Northern American river otter)
Lineage: Eukaryota; Metazoa; Chordata; Mammalia; Carnivora; Mustelidae
Exons: 3
Source: RefSeq, a predicted model, not a curated record